Molecule: ribosomal RNA, 158 nt
Filed under: Epipactis helleborine
Lineage: Eukaryota; Viridiplantae; Streptophyta; Magnoliopsida; Asparagales; Orchidaceae
Description: 5.8S ribosomal RNA
Source: RNAcentral
UCAAGUCUUUGAACGCAAGUUGCGCCCGAGGCCAAUCGGCUAAGGGCACGUCUGCCUGGGCGUCAAGCGUUGCGUCACUUCGUACCAUCACCACACACUAAUGGGUGUGUUGCUGUAGGCUCGAAUGUGAAGAGUGGUUCGCCGUGCCCAUUGGUGCG